Long non-coding RNA from Pieris napi, 493 nucleotides. RefSeq lists it as uncharacterized. The record is from RefSeq and is a predicted model, not a curated record. The transcript is spliced from 2 exons. NCBI's taxonomy places the organism in Eukaryota, Metazoa, Arthropoda, Insecta, Lepidoptera, Pieridae.
AUAACAAAACGACCCUUAUUUAUUGUUACCCUGGCAACCCGCCGUGUUUGAUUGACGUUUGAUUUAAUAAUUUUGAUACAACUCAUAAUUCUAAUGUAAGUUGUAUUUAUUUUAUCAACCAAAGCAAUUAUAUACACAUUUACUCAAUAUACUAAUAACAUUUUAUUAUUUGCAGCUAAUAGAAACUCCAAAACCUCAGACAAAGAGGACUAGAAUUUUACAUGCGCGUUCUGCAGUACAAAAGUUAGAAGAGCAUCUCAAAUAGUGGAAAGUGCCAAACUCCGCAACACGGUAGUGUUCCAGUGUUUCCAGGAAGAGCACGAAACAAAACAAAGGCAGAUGGCUGAAACACAUGAGCUCAAACAGAAGCGACUCGCCGAAGCUCACGAAAGGGCUAGACAGAAGCAUCUUCUAAGGCUCAAAUUGUUACAGCAGCAAUUAAAUAAAUAAUUAUAUACUUAUAAAAAAAAUAAAACCCCCGUUUUAAAUGAAA